UCCUACGGGAGGCAGCAGUAAGGAAUAUUGGUCAAUGGACGAAAGUCUGAACCAGCCAUGCCGCGUGGAGGAUGAAGGUCCUCUGGAUUGUAAACUUCUUUUAUAUGGGACGAAAAAAGGGUUUUCUAACUCGUCUGACGGUACCAUAUGAAUAAGCACCGGCUAACUCCGUGCCAGCAGCCGCGGUAAUACGGAGGGUGCAAGCGUUAUCCGGAUUCACUGGGUUUAAAGGGUGCGUAGGUGGGUUGGUAAGUCAGUGGUGAAAUCCCCGAGCUUAACUUGGGAACUGCCAUUGAUACUAUCAGUCUUGAAUACCGUGGAGGUCAGCGGAAUAUGUCAUGUAGCGGUGAAAUGCUUAGAUAUGACAUAGAACACCAAUUGCGAAGGCAGCUGGCUACCCGAAUAUGACACUGAGCACGAAGAU
Molecule: ribosomal RNA, 424 nt
Filed under: uncultured bacterium
Lineage: Bacteria
Description: bacterial SSU rRNA
Rfam family: Bacterial small subunit ribosomal RNA
Source: RNAcentral